AACGAACGCUGGCGGCGCGCCUAAUACAUGCAAGUCGAACGAGAAGGUGUAGCAAUACACUUGUACAGUGGCGAACGGGUGAGGAAUGCAUGGGCAACCUACCCUCGAGUGGGGAAUAACCAGCCGAAAGGUUGGCUAAUACCGCGUACGCUUCCGGGUCUCCGGAUCCGGAAGGAAAGUCACACCGUGGGUGUGACGCUCAAGGAUGGGCUCAUGUCCUAUCAGCUUGUUGGGGGGUGAUGGCCUACCAAGGCGACGACGGGUAGCCGGCCUGAGAGGGCGACCGGCCACACUGGGACUGAGACACGGCCCAGACUCCUACGGGAGGCAGCAGUGGGGAAUCUUGCGCAAUGGGCGAAAGCCUGACGCAGCGACGCCGCGUGAGGGAUGACGGCCU
RNAcentral lists this ribosomal RNA (397 nucleotides) under uncultured bacterium. Its description in RNAcentral is "bacterial SSU rRNA". It matches the Rfam family "Bacterial small subunit ribosomal RNA", at positions 29 to 417 of the family's 1533-position model. The record is from RNAcentral.